UGCCUGGACACCACCUUCCUGCACUAAAGCUCUCUUCAGUCUGCAGCACACAAGAUAUUAUCCUGGCACUACCCUUACAGCAGAGUGGGUACUGCCAGCAGUCAUAGUGUUGUCCAGUGCCAUGGCAGAGGAGUCACACAUAAGCAUCCUGCCAGUCUUACAGGCAGAAAGAAACACACUUUGCAACUACAGAAUGAGAAAGGUAAACCAAGUCAGACAACAGCCACCUGGACAUGAGAAAAGUUUUAACAGCCAAAAAAGCCAGAACAAAGCUGCAGGCAGGUUAAAAGAAGUUCAGACAAAGCAAGCCUGGCAGCUUCUGGGACCCUGCAGAGCUGGAAUGAAGCUUCUGCCAUGCUACCAGCCACAGGAAGCCUGUGUUCACUGGACUCUCAGCAGAGAUCAGCAUCUGGGGACUACAUGGGGGAGGUCCCAAGUUUUUUAAAUAAAAAUCAUUAAGGACA
This is a long non-coding RNA of Passer domesticus (house sparrow), 464 nucleotides long. RefSeq lists it as uncharacterized. The record is from RefSeq and is a predicted model, not a curated record. The transcript has 2 exons. Lineage: Eukaryota; Metazoa; Chordata; Aves; Passeriformes; Passeridae.